This 391-nucleotide unclassified non-coding RNA is filed under the name soil metagenome. RNAcentral describes it as "partial contains 5.8S ribosomal RNA, internal transcribed spacer 2, and large subunit ribosomal RNA". The stretch from base 1 to 122 matches the Rfam family "5.8S ribosomal RNA", at positions 35 to 154 of the family's 154-position model. The record is from RNAcentral.
GAUGAAGAACGUAGCGAAAUGCGAUACUUGGUGUGAAUUGCAGAAUCCCGUGAACCAUCGAGUCUUUGAACGCAAGUUGCGCCCGAAGCCACUAGGCCGAGGGCACGCCUGCCUGGGCGUCACACGCCGUUGCCCCCCCAUCUACUCCUUCGGGAUUGCGGGGGGGCGGAUGAUGGCCUCCCGUGCGCCUAGCCGCGCGGUUGGCAUAAAUACUAAGUCCUCGGCGACGCACGCCACGACAAUCGGUGGUUGCGAAACCUCGGUUGCCCGUCGUGUGCGUUCGUCGCGCAUCGAGGGCUCGAAAAAAUGCUCGGCUCCGGCUGGGCUUUCAACGCGACCCCAGGUCAGGCGGGGUUACCCGCUGAAUUUAAGCAUAUCAAUAAGCGGAGGA